RNAcentral lists this ribosomal RNA (465 nucleotides) under Vreelandella stevensii. Its description in RNAcentral is "partial 16S ribosomal RNA". It matches the Rfam family "Bacterial small subunit ribosomal RNA", at positions 338 to 795 of the family's 1533-position model. Lineage: Bacteria; Pseudomonadati; Pseudomonadota; Gammaproteobacteria; Oceanospirillales; Halomonadaceae. The record is from RNAcentral.
CCUGCGGGAGGCUGCAGUGGGGAAUAUUGGACAAUGGGGGGAACCCUGAUCCAGCCAUGCCGCGUGUGUGAAGAAGGCCCUCGGGUUGUAAAGCACUUUCAGUGAGGAAGAACGCCUGGUGGUUAAUACCCAUCAGGAAAGACAUCACUCACAGAAGAAGCACCGGCUAACUCCGUGCCAGCAGCCGCGGUAAUACGGAGGGUGCGAGCGUUAAUCGGAAUUACUGGGCGUAAAGCGCGCGUAGGUGGCUUGAUAAGCCGGUUGUGAAAGCCCCGGGCUCAACCUGGGAACGGCAUCCGGAACUGUCAAGCUAGAGUGCAGGAGAGGAAGGUAGAAUUCCCGGUGUAGCGGUGAAAUGCGUAGAGAUCGGGAGGAAUACCAGUGGCGAAGGCGGCCUUCUGGACUGACACUGACACUGAGGUGCGAAAGCGUGGGUAGCAAACAGGAUUAGAUACCCUUGUAGUC